CAGGAACAUAGAGAACAAUCUGUUUUCUGGAAUUAUUCCCCCUGAGCUUGGGAAUUUGGUUAACCUGGAGAAUCUUAUUCUUAGUGCUAACAAUCUCACUGGAGAGUUGCCAAAAGCUCUCACUAAUCUAACCAAAUUAAUGGAACUUAGGAUUAGCAGUAACAACUUCACUGGAAGAAUACCUGACUUCUUUCAAAGUUGGAAACAACUUCAUAAAUUAGAGAUUCAAGCUAGUGGUCUUGAGGGGCCCAUUCCUUCUAGCAUUUCUAUCCUGAGUAGUUUAACCGAGCUGUAAGUUCUGCCUUCGAAAUACACUUGAGUUGCAUAAUCUAUUUCGCAUCUUCAUGUGAUACUCAAAUUAACAAGACUUGUUGCUUAAGACACUAACAGUUAUUAAUAAUGCAAUUUAGUGCAGA
Long non-coding RNA from Alnus glutinosa, 416 nucleotides. RefSeq lists it as uncharacterized. NCBI's taxonomy places the organism in Eukaryota, Viridiplantae, Streptophyta, Magnoliopsida, Fagales, Betulaceae. The transcript is spliced from 4 exons. The record is from RefSeq and is a predicted model, not a curated record.